This 441-nucleotide ribosomal RNA is filed under the name uncultured bacterium. Its description in RNAcentral is "partial 16S ribosomal RNA". It matches the Rfam family "Bacterial small subunit ribosomal RNA", at positions 339 to 795 of the family's 1533-position model. The record is from RNAcentral.
CUACGGGGCGCAGCAGUGGGGAAUAUUGGGCAAUGGGCGCAAGCCUGACCCAGCAACGCCGCGUGAGGGAAGAAGGUUUUCGGAUUGUAAACCUCUGUCCUUGGGGACGAAGAAGUGACGGUACCCAAGGAGGAAGCUCCGGCUAACUACGUGCCAGCAGCCGCGGUAAUACGUAGGGAGCGAGCGUUGUCCGGAAUUACUGGGCGUAAAGGGUGCGUAGGCGGCAUAUUAAGUCAGGUGUGAAAUACUCGGGCUCAACCCGAGGGCUGCACUUGAAACUGGUAAGCUUGAGUGUGAGAGAGGAAAGUGGAAUUCCUAGUGUAGCGGUGAAAUGCGUAGAUAUUAGGAGGAACACCAGUGGCGAAGGCGACUUUCUGGCUCAUAACUGACGCUGAGGCACGAAAGCGUGGGGAGCAAACAGGAUUAGAUACCCGGGUAGUC